This is a long non-coding RNA of Salvator merianae (Argentine black and white tegu), 1728 nucleotides long. The record is from Ensembl. NCBI's taxonomy places the organism in Eukaryota, Metazoa, Chordata, Lepidosauria, Squamata, Teiidae.
CAGCAGCUGGCCUUCAGCGGCAUAAGAACGUGAGAAAUGCCCCACGGGAUCAGACCCAUGGUCUGUCUAGUCCAGCAGCCUGUUCUUACAGGGGCCAACCAGCUGCACAAGGAGGUGCACCAGCAGGACACCAGCAUGCAGCUUGCUCUGCUCGCAGUCUCCUAGCAGCUGGUCUUCGGAGGCGUAAGAACAUAGGAAGUAUCCCACUGGAUCAGACCCAUGGCCCGUCUAGUCCAGCAGUCAGUUCUCACAGUGGCCAACCAACUGCACGGGGAAGUCCACCCGCAGGACACUGCUUGCCCGGCUUGGAAUUUCCCAGCAGCUGCCUUCACAGGCAUAAGAACAUAAGAAACAUCACACUGUUGUAGCCUGAUGGCCCCAUUGGCUCAUCUUAUCCAGCCGCUCGUUUCAACAGUGGCCAGCCAGUUGCAUAAGGAAGUUCAGCAGCAGGACAGGAGAAAAAAACAGCUUUCCCAGCUCACCCAAGAAUCUCCUAGCCCAGGGGAAGUCACCCAGUCAGGAGGGCGAAUAGCUAUUGAUGGUCCAGAUGCUCAUGAAUUUCUCCAAACCUGUUUUGAGGCCAUUCAAGAUGGUGGCCAGCACCACCGAAGAACUGACGAAAUGCCCUGCUGGAUUGGACCGGUGGCACACCAGUCCAGUUGCUGGUCCUGACAAUAGCCAACCAGUUGCAUGUGGAAGCCUGCAAGCACAGGAAUGUAACAAUUGUUGGCUGGCUUCAGGCACACAGCGUCUUGUGUCAGAGGAGUCGCCAAGGCUAGGAGCCUUGGCAUGCCUUCUCUUAUGUCAAUUUGCCUUGCCAGAUCAGACCCAUGGCGGCUCUAGUCCAGCUCCCUGUUCUCACAGCGGCGACCAGUUGCAUAUGGGAGCCCACCAUCAGGUUGUAAGGACAAUUUGCUCUGCUCACAGACUCCCAGCAACUACCUAUGGAGGCAGUCUUCCAGUAAUAGAGAUAACACAAAGAGGCCUUUUGAAGGUCCUCCAAGUUAAUGAGAAGCUACACAGAUAGGAAAAGAGGACAAUCCCACAGAUGGCCACAUUGUUCAGACUGUCACAACUCACCAGACCUCACAUACGAUCGCAGGCAAAGGUUAGCAAGUUAUUACGGGCCACUUUGUUUGGCUGAGGAGGAGCUAGAAUGGGCUUAUGGGAAGCUCAAAGUAUAAAGGUCUCUUAACCAUCCAGAUAUGACAAGAGGGCGUUCUAAAUUGAAAAAGUGCAAGCAAGAAGCCCGCUGUCCUAGGAAGCAGCAGCAAGAUCUUGGCUCUCCUUUCCACCGUGCAUAAAGUUCACCUCCAAAGUUAUUUUGUGGGUGACUCAGAAGUGUUAUGGGGGGAGGGAUUUCUGAAUUGCCAGAAACCCCCCUCCUGAGCUUCCAACCUCAGCAUGCACAGAGUGGAUGAGUUUUUGCCAAACUGGGGGAGAGCAGAACUAAGAGCCCACGGCCAAAAACGCUGGCUGAUAAUUCCUUCCUGCAACGUCCUUGGAGAAGCCAUACAUACAACCACCCAUGUACCUGUAUGACAAAUUGAGCUUCGACAGUUAAGUUGAGAAGACCGUAUACCAGCUGGAUGACGCCAGGGACGACAUGAACACCUGUUGCAUGCUGUGGAGUGUGGGAACCCAGAAAAAAAUCCACGACAAACCCACAGGAAGAACAUUGCAAAGACUUAACAUUAAGACAUUUUCCCUUCUUUGUUCUUUCCUACU